UCAGCUUUGGCCCGGGCGCGGAAUGUCUCGAACUGAUUUACAGACUUCUUUUCGAAUGUCUGUAGUUCACUUAUCAGUUUCCUCUGACUGGAAAUUUCCUUGUUUGCACAAUUAAGCUCUAUUGUCAGCUUUUGUACGUGGGGGUUAGUUCUGCAGUUCAUAUUGCGUUUUGAAGAAUCCUGUGGUGAUGUGAAAAACUCUGAUGUCUCCAGUAGGCUGUGUCCUUUAAAAGUGACAGCGUUGAAAGAUCAAAGCUAAAUUCAAGUUCUAUUUCUAGCGUAUAUAUGGCGACGGAAGGCAUGUCAUGCAGCAUCACAGAUGAUGCAUUCGUUGCCAUAGAUACGACAAGAACAACAUCACAACUUGUCCAGUUAAGAACAUGCUACAAAGCUCUUGCUGUUACCACGGAGACGGAAAACUGUGAUUCAAUCAGAUUCACGAAAGGGGACAUUUUUCUUUUGUUUGUUGUUUUAUUAUUAGUUUUAAUCAAACUUUGUAUUGAAUUCAUACAAUGUAAAGACCUUUUCUUUUUUUUACAUGGUCGUAAUCCAGAGGUAGUUGAGGCCUGAUUCAGGGAUUCGUUUUGAUAACAAGAGUCCUGGACGAAAGCAAGUCUUGGAGGGACGGUAGAUUGCAGCCGAUCACCCUCUCAGCACAGCGGAUGACAUUGCCCGAAAUGGUGGAACGAGCUCUCUGAUGACAUCAGGACCGCAGAGAGCCUUCACAUCUUUCGCCGCAAACUAAAAACACACCUCUUCAGACUCUACCUCGACUAAAAGACUAACAAGUUGUAGCACUUAAAUUGUACUAAUGCCACUUAUAUAUAGCAAAUUGUAAAUUGGCUUAUUUGAUGAAAUUACACUUUCUUGUUUCUUGCUACUCUGAGUUUGUACCCAUAUGGUUGAAGGCCACAGCGCUUCAAUCGUUUCAAAACGGAGGACAGAUCCGGUGGAGGAGGUGGAGCUCGACGUGUUUCAAAUCUGGCUGAGGAAAGAUCCACUGGAGGAGGGGGAGCUCGAUGCGAAGAUGGAACUGGGGAG
Gasterosteus aculeatus aculeatus (three-spined stickleback) is the source of this 1040-nucleotide long non-coding RNA. NCBI's taxonomy places the organism in Eukaryota, Metazoa, Chordata, Actinopteri, Perciformes, Gasterosteidae. The record is from Ensembl.